This 33-nucleotide small RNA is filed under the name Arabidopsis thaliana (thale cress). Its description in RNAcentral is "ATSL308070". Lineage: Eukaryota; Viridiplantae; Streptophyta; Magnoliopsida; Brassicales; Brassicaceae. The record is from RNAcentral.
AAUAGAGCCAAAAAAACAAACAAACAAACAAAC